GUGCCUCUUUAAGGUUAACACAGUGCCUUAGGAGCUAACACAAAAGUGCAAAGUCAGUCUCCAUAAAACCGAGAAGAGGCUGUGAAGCUCCGCUCAGGAUCCUGUCUGGAGUCACAGCC
Molecule: small nucleolar RNA, 119 nt
Organism: Callithrix jacchus (white-tufted-ear marmoset)
Lineage: Eukaryota; Metazoa; Chordata; Mammalia; Primates; Cebidae
Source: Ensembl